This 561-nucleotide small RNA is filed under the name uncultured Fusarium. Its description in RNAcentral is "eukaryotic LSU rRNA". The stretch from base 182 to 335 matches the Rfam family "5.8S ribosomal RNA". The record is from RNAcentral. Lineage: Eukaryota; Fungi; Ascomycota; Sordariomycetes; Hypocreales; Nectriaceae.
UCCGUAGGUGAACCUGCGGAGGGAUCAUUACCGAGUUUACAACUCCCAAACCCCUGUGAACAUACCUUAAUGUUGCCUCGGCGGAUCAGCCCGCGCCCCGUAAAACGGGACGGCCCGCCAGAGGACCCAAACUCUAAUGUUUCUUAUUGUAACUUCUGAGUAAAACAAACAAAUAAAUCAAAACUUUCAACAACGGAUCUCUUGGUUCUGGCAUCGAUGAAGAACGCAGCAAAAUGCGAUAAGUAAUGUGAAUUGCAGAAUUCAGUGAAUCAUCGAAUCUUUGAACGCACAUUGCGCCCGCUGGUAUUCCGGCGGGCAUGCCUGUUCGAGCGUCAUUUCAACCCUCAAGCCCCCGGGUUUGGUGUUGGGGAUCGGCUCUGCCUUCUGGCGGCGCCGCCCCCGAAAUACAUUGGCGGUCUCGCUGCAGCCUCCAUUGCGUAGUAGCUAACGCCUCGCAACUGGAACGCGGCGCGGCCAUGCCGUAAAACCCCAACUUCUGAAUGUUGACCUCGGAUCAGGUAGGAAUACCCGCUGAACUUAAGCAUAUCAAUAAGCGGAGGA